GAAAUGCGAUACGUAAUGUGACUUGCAUUUAUUUGUGAAUCAUCGAAUCUUUGAACGCAACUUGCACUCUUUGGAUCUACUAAAGAGUAUACUUGUUUGAGUAUCAGAAUCAACUUUACUCCCUUCUUACUAUGUAAGAGAGAGUGCUUGAGACAUCAUUUCUAUGUGUCUUUAAACGAAUGUCAUCAAAAGUGUGGUAAAAGACAGAUGUUCUUUCCCGCUGACUAGAUGUUCUUAGUAUGUUAUGAUUAUUCUAUAUGAUCACAGCAUUCUAUUUUUUUUAUGAUCUCAAAUCAAGUAGGACUACCCGCUGAACUUAA
Molecule: unclassified non-coding RNA, 320 nt
Filed under: uncultured fungus
Lineage: Eukaryota; Fungi
Description: sequence contains ITS1
Rfam family: 5.8S ribosomal RNA (bases 1-106)
Source: RNAcentral